This is a long non-coding RNA of Telopea speciosissima, 203 nucleotides long. RefSeq lists it as uncharacterized. Lineage: Eukaryota; Viridiplantae; Streptophyta; Magnoliopsida; Proteales; Proteaceae. The record is from RefSeq and is a predicted model, not a curated record. The transcript has 3 exons.
UUUAGGGUUUGUCUUUGAGGAAGAGAACGUGAAGAGGAGAAGAGCUCUACUUCGUUAGAUCUUCAAAAGCUUGGAAAAUUGUUUAAGUUUGUAAAUCUGAGAUGGAGAGAGAUUUCUUGGGUUUGAAUGCAAAGGAAUCGUCGCCGGCGGUGAAGGAGGAGAGCAAGGAGGGAUCGAAAGAUUCUGCUUUCACUAGGGGUUCA